Cervus elaphus (red deer) is the source of this 538-nucleotide long non-coding RNA. RefSeq lists it as uncharacterized. Lineage: Eukaryota; Metazoa; Chordata; Mammalia; Artiodactyla; Cervidae. The record is from RefSeq and is a predicted model, not a curated record. The transcript has 3 exons.
GCAGUGCGGCGCGGCAAACGCCCCGCCCCCGGCGCGCCUUCCGGAGCAAGGGGCGGGACAGAGGAAGGUGGUCUGGAUCGUUGGCUGACCAAGUGAUCAAAAUCAAAACAAAUCAGCAUCAAGAAGUACCAUGUGCGGUGAAUUCUCACGCGCGAGUGGCUUUGCAGUUCUACUCCAUCCCGACUCUGCCUUAGCCAAGAAAAUGUGGUGGUUGCCCGCCUAAAUCAUGAUGAGAAGAAGCCUGGACUCGUUGGCUGGAGGAGGAGACCAGGUGGAGAGAGCACCUUGCAAAGCCACCUAACUGACCCAGAGAACAGACAUAGAGCCAAGCUGGUUGAGGUACACAAAACUGUCCUGUUGAUCCACAGAUACAUGAGAAAGAAUGAAGGAAUCUUCUAUUAAGCCACUCUUUGACAUGAAUAGGUUGAAGUUGAACUCUUUGAACACCUGUAUAAGGACAAUUCCAACGGAGACAGUGGUGAACCCACAGGCCAUGCCCAAGAAGUCCACCAGACCCACGUUGCUCCACUCCCGGAAG